AGAGUUUGAUCAUGGCUCAGAUUGAACGCUGGCGGCAGGCCUAACACAUGCAAGUCGAGCGGUAGCACAGAGAGCUUGCUCUCGGGUGACGAGCGGCGGACGGGUGAGUAAUGUCUGGGAAACUGCCUGAUGGAGGGGGAUAACUACUGGAAACGGUAGCUAAUACCGCAUAAUGUCGCAAGACCAAAGUGGGGGACCUUCGGGCCUCAUGCCAUCAGAUGUGCCCAGAUGGGAUUAGCUAGUAGGUGGGGUAACGGCUCACCUAGGCGACGAUCCCUAGCUGGUCUGAGAGGAUGACCAGCCACACUGGAACUGAGACACGGUCCAGACUCCUACGGGAGGCAGCAGUGGGGAAUAUUGCACAAUGGGCGCAAGCCUGAUGCAGCCAUGCCGCGUGUGUGAAGAAGGCCUUCGGGUUGUAAAGCACUUUCAGCGGGGAGGAAGGCGNCGAUUGACGUUACCCGCAGAAGAAGCACCGGCUAACUCCGUGCCAGCAGCCGCGGUAAUACGGAGGGUGCAAGCGUUAAUCGGAAUUACUGGGCGUAAAGCGCACGCAGGCGGUCUGUCAAGUCGGAUGUGAAAUCCCCGGGCUCAACCUGGGAACUGCAUUCGAAACUGGCAGGCUAGAGUCUUGUAGAGGGGGGUAGAAUUCCAGGUGUAGCGGUGAAAUGCGUAGAGAUCUGGAGGAAUACCGGUGGCGAAGGCGGCCCCCUGGACAAAGACUGACGCUCAGGUGCGAAAGCGUGGGGAGCAAACAGGAUUAGAUACCCUGGUAGUCCACGCCGUAAACGAUGUCGAUUUGGAGGUUGUGCCCUUGAGGCGUGGCUUCCGGAGCUAACGCGUUAAAUCGACCGCCUGGGGAGUACGGCCGCAAGGUUAAAACUCAAAUGAAUUGACGGGGGCCCGCACAAGCGGUGGAGCAUGUGGUUUAAUUCGAUGCAACGCGAAGAACCUUACCUGGUCUUGACAUCCACAGAACUUAGCAGAGAUGCUUUGGUGCCUUCGGGAACUGUGAGACAGGUGCUGCAUGGCUGUCGUCAGCUCGUGUUGUGAAAUGUUGGGUUAAGUCCCGCAACGAGCGCAACCCUUAUCCUUUGUUGCCAGCGGUUAGGCCGGGAACUCAAAGGAGACUGCCAGUGAUAAACUGGAGGAAGGUGGGGAUGACGUCAAGUCAUCAUGGCCCUUACGACCAGGGCUACACACGUGCUACAAUGGCAUAUACAAAGAGAAGCGACCUCGCGAGAGCAAGCGGACCUCAUAAAGUAUGUCGUAGUCCGGAUUGGAGUCUGCAACUCGACUCCAUGAAGUCGGAAUCGCUAGUAAUCGUAGAUCAGAAUGCUACGGUGAAUACGUUCCCGGGCCUUGUACACACCGCCCGUCACACCAUGGGAGUGGGUUGCAAAAGAAGUAGGUAGCUUAACCUUCGGGAGGGCGCUUACCACUUUGUGAUUCAUGACUGGGGUGAAGUCGUAACAAGGUAACCGUAGGGGAACCUGCGGUUGGAUCACCU
This 1510-nucleotide ribosomal RNA is filed under the name Klebsiella pneumoniae. RNAcentral describes it as "bacterial SSU rRNA". It matches the Rfam family "Bacterial small subunit ribosomal RNA". The record is from RNAcentral. Lineage: Bacteria; Pseudomonadati; Pseudomonadota; Gammaproteobacteria; Enterobacterales; Enterobacteriaceae.